This 100-nucleotide non-coding RNA is filed under the name Paraglaciecola mesophila. The record is from RNAcentral. Lineage: Bacteria; Pseudomonadati; Pseudomonadota; Gammaproteobacteria; Alteromonadales; Alteromonadaceae.
UUUACAACGCUCUGCUGUCAUGGGCAAACAAACCAACCCCCGAGCGUGAGUCACCAUAAAGUUAAUGUCUUUUGGAGUCACGCACUCAGCGGCCAUGAUU